AUAGUUACCUGGCAGGGGAGACAUUAUGAUCAUUAAGGUGGUUUUCCCAGAGCGAGGCUUAUCCUUUGCACUCCGGAUGUGUUGACCUCUGCGAUUUCGCCUGUAAUC
Small nuclear RNA from Gorilla gorilla gorilla (western lowland gorilla), 108 nucleotides. Its record names the gene U1. It matches the Rfam family "U1 spliceosomal RNA". Rfam says of the family: U1 is a small nuclear RNA (snRNA) component of the spliceosome (involved in pre-mRNA splicing). Its 5' end forms complementary base pairs with the 5' splice junction, thus defining the 5' donor site of an intron. The record is from Ensembl. NCBI's taxonomy places the organism in Eukaryota, Metazoa, Chordata, Mammalia, Primates, Hominidae.